RNAcentral lists this ribosomal RNA (253 nucleotides) under uncultured bacterium. Its description in RNAcentral is "partial 16S ribosomal RNA". It matches the Rfam family "Bacterial small subunit ribosomal RNA", at positions 524 to 776 of the family's 1533-position model. The record is from RNAcentral.
UACGUAGGGUGCAAGCGUUAAUCGGAAUUACUGGGCGUAAAGCGUGCGCAGGCGGUUCUGUAAGUCUGUCGUGAAAUCCCCGGGCUCAACCUGGGAAUUGCGAUGGAGACUGCAAGGCUAGAAUCUGGCAGAGGGGGGUAGAAUUCCACGUGUAGCAGUGAAAUGCGUAGAGAUGUGGAGGAACACCGAUGGCGAAGGCAGCCCCCUGGGUCGAGAUUGACGCUCAUGCACGAAAGCGUGGGGAGCAAACAGG